This 534-nucleotide long non-coding RNA is filed under the name Piliocolobus tephrosceles (Ugandan red Colobus). RNAcentral's name for it is "lncRNA (ENSPTEG00000004761.1)". Lineage: Eukaryota; Metazoa; Chordata; Mammalia; Primates; Cercopithecidae. The record is from RNAcentral.
GUUUCAAAGACGUGGCUUGGUGGAGGCAAUACGGCUUACUCAUGGUGGCAGUCACCUAGCUAUCAAAUCGCUGGUUAGCCAACUAAUUACUGAGGUAAAUCAGAAGAAUUUGUAGUCCCUUGGCAAAUUUACUGUAACUUGUAUGAGAGAAAUAUAUUCUGAAACUAGUUUCAGAGAUAUAUUUAAAGGAUGAAAGGACUGAGGCAUGUUGGUGCAGUGAUGUGGGCAAGUGUGGGUGAGUUCGGCACAUCCCCCACCUGAGAGAACACAACUGGAAGGAUCUCUGUGGUCUUAAUGGAGGCUUGCUGGUCUGUGGAUUCUUGACUGUGGAUUCUGGCAGGGUCACCUUUGAGGUGGCCUCCUCCAUACAGCCCAUCUGUAAUCUGGAAGCUGCUCUAUCCUCACAUGCCAUCAAGAGGAGAGUGGGCAGAAGGUCAAGGUCUUGCUGGUGUAGGGACUCAGCAGAGCCUCUCUUUGGUUUUUGUAAAUUGUGCCCACAUAGUAGUUAAUCUCCACUCAGCUACCCAGCAUCAC